RNAcentral lists this ribosomal RNA (1343 nucleotides) under uncultured bacterium. RNAcentral describes it as "16S ribosomal RNA". It matches the Rfam family "Bacterial small subunit ribosomal RNA", at positions 28 to 1378 of the family's 1533-position model. The record is from RNAcentral.
GACGAACGCUGGCGGCGUGCUUAACACAUGCAAGUCGAUCGGAAAGGCCCUGCUUUUGUGGGGUGCUCGAGUGGCGAACGGGUGAGUAACACGUGAGUAACCUGCCCUUGACUUUGGGAUAACUUCAGGAAACUGGGGCUAAUACCGGAUAGGAGCUCCUGCUGCAUGGUGGGGGUUGGAAAGUUUCGGCGGUUGGGGAUGGACUCGCGGCUUAUCAGCUUGUUGGUGGGGUAGUGGCUUACCAAGGCUUUGACGGGUAGCCGGCCUGAGAGGGUGACCGGCCACAUUGGGACUGAGAUACGGCCCAGACUCCUACGGGAGGCAGCAGUGGGGAAUAUUGCACAAUGGGCGGAAGCCUGAUGCAGCAACGCCGCGUGCGGGAUGACGGCCUUCGGGUUGUAAACCGCUUUCGCCUGUGACGAAGCGUGAGUGACGGUAAUGGGUAAAGAAGCACCGGCUAACUACGUGCCAGCAGCCGCGGUGAUACGUAGGGUGCGAGCGUUGUCCGGAUUUAUUGGGCGUAAAGGGCUCGUAGGUGGUUGAUCGCGUCGGAAGUGUAAUCUUGGGGCUUAACCCUGAGCGUGCUUUCGAUACGGGUUGACUUGAGGAAGGUAGGGGAGAAUGGAAUUCCUGGUGGAGCGGUGGAAUGCGCAGAUAUCAGGAGGAACACCAGUGGCGAAGGCGGUUCUCUGGGCCUUUCCUGACGCUGAGGAGCGAAAGCAUGGGGAGCGAACAGGCUUAGAUACCCUGGUAGUCCACGCUGUAAACGGUGGGUACUAGGUGUGGGGUCCAUUCCACGGGUUCCGUGCCGUAGCUAACGCUUUAAGUACCCCGCCUGGGGAGUACGGCCGCAAGGCUAAAACUCAAAGGAAUUGACGGGGCCCCGCACAAGCGGCGGAGCAUGCGGAUUAAUUCGAUGCAACGCGUAGAACCUUACCUGGGUUUGACAUGGAUCGGGAGUGCUCAGAGAUGGGUGUGCCUCUUUUGGGGUCGGUUCACAGGUGGUGCAUGGCUGUCGUCAGCUCGUGUCGUGAGAUGUUGGGUUAAGUCCCGCAACGAGCGCAACCCUUGUUCACUGUUGCCAGCACGUUAUGGUGGGGACUCAGUGGAGACCGCCGGGGUCAACUCGGAGGAAGGUGGGGAUGACGUCAAGUCAUCAUGCCCCUUAUGUCCAGGGCUUCACGCAUGCUACAAUGGCUGGUACAGAGAGUGGCGAGCCUGUGAGGGUGAGCGAAUCUCGGAAAGUCGGUCUCAGUUCGGAUUGGGGUCUGCAACUCGACCUCAUGAAGUCGGAGUCGCUAGUAAUCGCAGAUCAGCAACGCUGCGGAGAAUACGUUCCCGGG